UGCUGUUCAAUACUGCUGAUAGACUAGGCUACAAGGAAAUUGAGCAAGCAACUGAGAUUCCGGCUUCGGAUCUGAAGAGGUGUCUGCAAUCAUUGGCUUUGGUUAAGGGAAGAAAUGUGCUUAGGAAGGAGCCCAUGAGUAAAGAUGUAGAUGAGGAUGAUGCUUUCUUUGUAAAUGACAAGUUCAGUAGCAAUCUAUACAGGGUAAAAAUAGGAACUGUAGUUGCACAAAAUGAAUCAGAACCUGAGAAACUGGAGACUCGUCGGCAACAAGUGGAGGAGGAGGGCCGAAGGUCCCAGAUUGAGGCUGUCAUAGUGAGGAUAAUGAAAUCAAGAAAGAAACUUGAUCACAGCAAUCUCAUGGCUGAGGUCACAGAGCAGUUCCAUGCAAAUCCCACAGAGGUAAAGAAACGGAUUGAGUCUCUUGUUGACCGGGAUUUUAUGGAACGAGAUGAUAAUGACAGACAGUUAUAUCGAUAUCUUGCCUAGAAAGAAUUGUCAAGUUUGUUUCUUUCAGUGAAAUUAGAAUGAUACAAAAAUUGUGCCUUUUACAGUUUCAUUGAUUCUUAAUGCAUAUAUGUUUGUUCUUCCAGUUAUGCUGUUUAAUCCUAUUAUCUGCAUCACAUAACAUACUAUGUCUUUGCUUCCACUAAUGUAGGAGUUUAAUCCAUUCCGGACAGGCUGGAAGGUUUCAACUUAAAGUCUAAAAUCUCAUUGUAUUAAAAUAAGGCAUGCCAUGAUCAAACAAUAAAGGAAAUUGAAAUUGAAAUUUAAAAAAUGAAGGAAAUUAAGAUCUUUCAAAUUGAAAAAACAUUUUCUGAUUGUUAUGAGUUAGUAAUAUAUUUUAAAACAACAUUGAUUAAUAUGAGAAAGAGGAACCAAAAAGUUGAUUAGAUGAAGAAAAAGAAAAGAAAUAUAUAACAAUAGAAAAUAUUAGAGAUAUACCAUGAUGGGUGGAAUUAGUUACAAUGAUUUUACAACAUAACUUGUCAAGGCAAAAGUCUAAGAGGAAUACUCCUGACUUUUCACAAUGGAUGGUAUGAAAUUGCAAUGGUUCCAG
This 1059-nucleotide long non-coding RNA is filed under the name Glycine max (soybean). RNAcentral's name for it is "long non-coding RNA (GMAX_LNC000331)". The record is from RNAcentral. Lineage: Eukaryota; Viridiplantae; Streptophyta; Magnoliopsida; Fabales; Fabaceae.